GCAAAGUGAGAUGAUUUGCUUGGCUGCAGCUGAAGUGGUUGUCUCAUUUGGGAAAGCUGAGCUGUCUGUUUAUUGGGCUCUUCCUAAGACUGGUUACCCUGCCAGGCCCAAUCCUCCAACCCCAAGGAUGCCAGGGGAAACAGGCACAGUGCCACUGCGUAUCUCUUGGGAGAAAGAAGCCACUCUCCCAGGCAUGGACUUCACAGCCUUCUCUUUAGGCUGAUUGGGCCAGCUUACAACCUGUGUCCACACCGGAGCUACAGCGGUUAAAAGGAAUGAAGCUGCAGGAAGAAAGAGGCUCCAUGUGUGGUAUGGAUGUCAACAGAGCUGCCCUGAGGGAGAUGCCUUCCUUGUUAGUUGACUCUGUGGUGUGGUUCUGGGCAUUGUUCCUGGACACUCAGCUCCAAUCCAUUUCUCAAGACCACAGGCCAUUCAAUCAACUACUCACUAAUCUUUAUUAAAUUUCCUUU
This is a long non-coding RNA of Bos taurus (domestic cattle), 470 nucleotides long. NCBI's taxonomy places the organism in Eukaryota, Metazoa, Chordata, Mammalia, Artiodactyla, Bovidae. The record is from Ensembl.